GACGGUUUGGCCGAGUGGUCUAAGGCGCCAGAUUUUAGGCUCUGGUCCGAAAGGGCGUGGGUUCAAAUCCCACAGCCGUUA
Molecule: transfer RNA, 81 nt
Filed under: Ipomoea nil (Japanese morning glory)
Lineage: Eukaryota; Viridiplantae; Streptophyta; Magnoliopsida; Solanales; Convolvulaceae
Rfam family: tRNA
About the family: Transfer RNA (tRNA) molecules are approximately 80 nucleotides in length. Their secondary structure includes four short double-helical elements and three loops (D, anti-codon, and T loops).
Source: Rfam by way of RNAcentral